AAAUUGAAGAGUUUGAUCAUGGCUCAGAUUGAACGCUGGCGGCAGGCCUAACACAUGCAAGUCGAGCGGUAGCACAGAGAGCUUGCUCUCGGGUGACGAGCGGCGGACGGGUGAGUAAUGUCUGGGAAACUGCCUGAUGGAGGGGGAUAACUACUGGAAACGGUAGCUAAUACCGCAUAAUGUCGCAAGACCAAAGUGGGGGACCUUCGGGCCUCAUGCCAUCAGAUGUGCCCAGAUGGGAUUAGCUAGUAGGUGGGGUAACGGCUCACCUAGGCGACGAUCCCUAGCUGGUCUGAGAGGAUGACCAGCCACACUGGAACUGAGACACGGUCCAGACUCCUACGGGAGGCAGCAGUGGGGAAUAUUGCACAAUGGGCGCAAGCCUGAUGCAGCCAUGCCGCGUGUGUGAAGAAGGCCUUCGGGUUGUAAAGCACUUUCAGCGGGGAGGAAGGCGGUGAGGUUAAUAACCUCAUCGAUUGACGUUACCCGCAGAAGAAGCACCGGCUAACUCCGUGCCAGCAGCCGCGGUAAUACGGAGGGUGCAAGCGUUAAUCGGAAUUACUGGGCGUAAAGCGCACGCAGGCGGUCUGUCAAGUCGGAUGUGAAAUCCCCGGGCUCAACCUGGGAACUGCAUUCGAAACUGGCAGGCUAGAGUCUUGUAGAGGGGGGUAGAAUUCCAGGUGUAGCGGUGAAAUGCGUAGAGAUCUGGAGGAAUACCGGUGGCGAAGGCGGCCCCCUGGACAAAGACUGACGCUCAGGUGCGAAAGCGUGGGGAGCAAACAGGAUUAGAUACCCUGGUAGUCCACGCCGUAAACGAUGUCGAUUUGGAGGUUGUGCCCUUGAGGCGUGGCUUCCGGAGCUAACGCGUUAAAUCGACCGCCUGGGGAGUACGGCCGCAAGGUUAAAACUCAAAUGAAUUGACGGGGGCCCGCACAAGCGGUGGAGCAUGUGGUUUAAUUCGAUGCAACGCGAAGAACCUUACCUGGUCUUGACAUCCACAGAACUUUCCAGAGAUGGAUUGGUGCCUUCGGGAACUGUGAGACAGGUGCUGCAUGGCUGUCGUCAGCUCGUGUUGUGAAAUGUUGGGUUAAGUCCCGCAACGAGCGCAACCCUUAUCCUUUGUUGCCAGCGGU
This 1133-nucleotide ribosomal RNA is filed under the name Klebsiella pneumoniae. RNAcentral's name for it is "bacterial SSU rRNA". It matches the Rfam family "Bacterial small subunit ribosomal RNA", at positions 1 to 1125 of the family's 1533-position model. RNAcentral also lists the same sequence under 4 other names. Lineage: Bacteria; Pseudomonadati; Pseudomonadota; Gammaproteobacteria; Enterobacterales; Enterobacteriaceae. The record is from RNAcentral.